This 489-nucleotide unclassified non-coding RNA is filed under the name Hevea brasiliensis (rubber tree). Lineage: Eukaryota; Viridiplantae; Streptophyta; Magnoliopsida; Malpighiales; Euphorbiaceae. The record is from RNAcentral.
UCCAGCCACAAACAGGAAGACCGUCGGAGUAAAGGAUGGAUACAGAUACUUCACAAAAAAGUUGUCCCAAGCUUCUGGUAAAAGGCCUGAAGCAGCAAGAAGAAUACCCUCGACAAGGAUAAUUCCACCAAGUCCUAACCAAGCAAGAAGAAACGCACUCUCAUUUUUCUGAAAUUCCUUGGAUCCAGAUUCUUCCGCCGGUUGGGUAGCUAAGCUGGGCUUUUGAAUGGGUUCUCGUCGGAUAAUUGUAUCCCUCUCUCUUUUCCCCUUUUGUUGUUUCUUCUUUACUGUGGUGGAAACCGAUGACCCAAAACCUAAAGAAGUGGAGCUGGCUGCCUUCUUAGCUACCGGAGAUGAUGCAGUGUCCUCUGAAGAAUUAUCAGAAGAAGAGUUUUGGAAUUUGAUGGAGAAAUUUCUGGGGUUGGAGUGUUGAUGUGGUUGAGGGAGGAGAAGAUGAAGAUGAGGUCUCUUGGUAUGUGGUGAGUUCAG